AAUAUUGGACAAUGGUCGAAAGCCUGAUCCAGCCAUGCCGCGUGUGUGAAGUAGGUCUNCGGAUUNANAAGCACGUUAAGGUGGGNGGAAGGGCAGUAAGUAAAUACCUUGCUGUUUUGACGUUACCGACAGAAUAAGCACCGGCUAACUUCGUGCCAGCAGCCGCGGUAAUACGUAGGGUGCAAGCGUUAAUCGGAAUUACUGGGCGUAAAGCGCGCGUAGGUGGUUUGUUAAGUUGGAAGUGAAAGCCCCGGGCUCAACCUGGGAACUGCUUUCAAAACUGGCGGGCUAGAGUAUGGCAGAGGGUGAUGGAAUUUCCUGUGUAGCGGUGAAAUGCGUAGAUAUAGGAAGGAACACCAGUGGCGAAGGCGACCACCUGGGCUAAUACUGACACUGAGGUGCGAAAGCGUGGGGAGCAAAC
Molecule: ribosomal RNA, 421 nt
Filed under: uncultured bacterium
Lineage: Bacteria
Description: partial 16S ribosomal RNA
Rfam family: Bacterial small subunit ribosomal RNA
Source: RNAcentral